Molecule: ribosomal RNA, 1453 nt
Filed under: Mammaliicoccus sciuri
Lineage: Bacteria; Bacillati; Bacillota; Bacilli; Caryophanales; Staphylococcaceae
Description: bacterial SSU rRNA
Rfam family: Bacterial small subunit ribosomal RNA
Source: RNAcentral
GACGGGGGGGGUGCUAUAAUGCAGUCGAGCGAACAGAUGAGAAGCUUGCUUCUCUGAUGUUAGCGGCGGACGGGUGAGUAACACGUGGGUAACCUACCUAUAAGACUGGGAUAACUCCGGGAAACCGGGGCUAAUACCGGAUAAUAUUUUGAACCGCAUGGUUCAAUAGUGAAAGACGGUUUCGGCUGUCACUUAUAGAUGGACCCGCGCCGUAUUAGCUAGUUGGUAAGGUAACGGCUUACCAAGGCGACGAUACGUAGCCGACCUGAGAGGGUGAUCGGCCACACUGGAACUGAGACACGGUCCAGACUCCUACGGGAGGCAGCAGUAGGGAAUCUUCCGCAAUGGGCGAAAGCCUGACGGAGCAACGCCGCGUGAGUGAUGAAGGUCUUCGGAUCGUAAAACUCUGUUGUUAGGGAAGAACAAAUUUGUUAGUAACUGAACAAGUCUUGACGGUACCUAACCAGAAAGCCACGGCUAACUACGUGCCAGCAGCCGCGGUAAUACGUAGGUGGCAAGCGUUAUCCGGAAUUAUUGGGCGUAAAGCGCGCGUAGGCGGUUUCUUAAGUCUGAUGUGAAAGCCCACGGCUCAACCGUGGAGGGUCAUUGGAAACUGGGAAACUUGAGUGCAGAAGAGGAGAGUGGAAUUCCAUGUGUAGCGGUGAAAUGCGCAGAGAUAUGGAGGAACACCAGUGGCGAAGGCGGCUCUCUGGUCUGUAACUGACGCUGAUGUGCGAAAGCGUGGGGAUCAAACAGGAUUAGAUACCCUGGUAGUCCACGCCGUAAACGAUGAGUGCUAAGUGUUAGGGGGUUUCCGCCCCUUAGUGCUGCAGCUAACGCAUUAAGCACUCCGCCUGGGGAGUACGACCGCAAGGUUGAAACUCAAAGGAAUUGACGGGGACCCGCACAAGCGGUGGAGCAUGUGGUUUAAUUCGAAGCAACGCGAAGAACCUUACCAAAUCUUGACAUCCUUUGACCGCUCUAGAGAUAGAGUCUUCCCCUUCGGGGGACAAAGUGACAGGUGGUGCAUGGUUGUCGUCAGCUCGUGUCGUGAGAUGUUGGGUUAAGUCCCGCAACGAGCGCAACCCUUAAGCUUAGUUGCCAUCAUUAAGUUGGGCACUCUAGGUUGACUGCCGGUGACAAACCGGAGGAAGGUGGGGAUGACGUCAAAUCAUCAUGCCCCUUAUGAUUUGGGCUACACACGUGCUACAAUGGAUAAUACAAAGGGCAGCGAAUCCGCGAGGCCAAGCAAAUCCCAUAAAAUUAUUCUCAGUUCGGAUUGUAGUCUGCAACUCGACUACAUGAAGCUGGAAUCGCUAGUAAUCGUAGAUCAGCAUGCUACGGUGAAUACGUUCCCGGGUCUUGUACACACCGCCCGUCACACCACGAGAGUUUGUAACACCCGAAGCCGGUGGAGUAACCUUUUAGGAGCUAGCCGUCGAAGUGACAAAUG